CCUACGGGAGGCAGCAGUGAGGAAUAUUGGUCAAUGGUCGGAAGACUGAACCAGCCAUGCCGCGUGCAGGAAGAAUGCCUUAUGGGUUGUAAACUGCUUUUAUAUGGGAAGAAUAAGGUGUACGUGUACAUUGAUGACGGUACCAUAUGAAUAAGCAUCGGCUAACUCCGUGCCAGCAGCCGCGGUAAUACGGAGGAUGCGAGCGUUAUUCGGAAUCAUUGGGUUUAAAGGGUCUGUAGGCGGGCUAUUAAGUCAGGGGUGAAAGGUUUCAGCUUAACUGAGAAAUUGCCUUUGAUACUGGUAGUCUUGAAUAUCUGUGAAGUUCUUGGAAUGUGUAGUGUAGCGGUGAAAUGCUUAGGUAUUACACAGAACACCGAUUGCGGAGGCAGGGGACUAACAGACGAUUGACGCUGAGAGACGAAAGCGUGGGGAGCGAACAGGAUUAGAUACCCUGGUAGUCCACGCUGUAAACGAUGGAUACUAGCUGUUUGGAGUAAUUUGAGUGGCUAAGCGAAAGUGAUAAGUAUCCCACCUGGGGAGUACGACCGCAAGGUUGAAACUCAAAGGAAUUGACGG
This 576-nucleotide ribosomal RNA is filed under the name uncultured bacterium. Its description in RNAcentral is "bacterial SSU rRNA". It matches the Rfam family "Bacterial small subunit ribosomal RNA", at positions 338 to 916 of the family's 1533-position model. The record is from RNAcentral.